AAUGAACGCUGGCGGCGUGCUUUACACAUGCAAGUCGAGCGAGGCGGGUAGCAAUACCCAGUCGAGCGGCGAACGGGUGAGUAACGCGUGGAUAACCUGCCCAGAGGUGGGGGAUAACCCGGGAAACGUCGGGCGUAAUACCGCAUAUGACCGUGAGGUCAAAGGGGCGUCGCAAGAGCUCUCGCCAUUGGAGGGGUCCGGCGUACGAUUAGCUAGUUGGUAGGGUAAUGGCCUACCAAGGCGACGAUCGUUAGCCGGCCUGAGAGGGUGAUCGGCCGACACUGGAACUGAGACACGGCCCAGACUCCUACGGGAGGCAGCAGUGGGGAA
RNAcentral lists this ribosomal RNA (330 nucleotides) under uncultured bacterium. RNAcentral describes it as "bacterial SSU rRNA". It matches the Rfam family "Bacterial small subunit ribosomal RNA", at positions 29 to 361 of the family's 1533-position model. The record is from RNAcentral.